CCUACGGGAGGCAGCAGUGAGGAAUAUUGGUCAAUGGUCGGGAGACUGAACCAGCCAAGCCGCGUGAGGGAUGAAGGUACAGAGGAUCGUAAACCUCUUUUGUCAGGGAACAAAGGCGGGGACGUGUGCCCGGAUGAGUGGACCUUAAGAAAAAGCAUCGGCCAACUCCGUGCCAGCAGCCGCGGUAAUACGGAGGAUGCGAGUGGUAUCCGGUUGUAUUGGGUUGAAGGGGUGCGCAGGCGGACUGUUAAGUCAGCGGUCAAAGCCCGGGGCUCAACCCCGGCCCGCCGUUGAAACUGGGAGUCUCGAGUUGGAGAGAAGUAUGCGGAAUGCGCGGUGUAGCGGUGAAAUGCAUAGAUAUCGCGCAGAACUCCGAUUGCGAAGGCAGCAUGCCGGCUCCAAACUGACGCUGAGGCACGAAAGCGUGGGUAUCGAACAGGAUUAGAUACCCCAGUAGUC
RNAcentral lists this ribosomal RNA (459 nucleotides) under uncultured bacterium. RNAcentral describes it as "partial 16S ribosomal RNA". It matches the Rfam family "Bacterial small subunit ribosomal RNA", at positions 338 to 795 of the family's 1533-position model. The record is from RNAcentral.